Molecule: ribosomal RNA, 279 nt
Filed under: uncultured bacterium
Lineage: Bacteria
Description: partial 16S ribosomal RNA
Rfam family: Bacterial small subunit ribosomal RNA
Source: RNAcentral
UGCCAGCAGCCGCGGUAAUACGGAGGGUGCAAGCGUUAAUCGGAAUUACUGGGCGUAAAGGGCUUGUAGGUGGAUAUGUAAGUCAGAUGUGAAAGUCCAGGGCUCAACCUUGGAAGUGCAUUUGAGACUGCGGAUCUAGAGUAUGAUAGAGGGUAGAGGAAUUUCCGGUGUAGCGGUGAAAUGCGUAGAGAUCGGAAGGAACAUCAGUGGCGAAGGCGUCUACCUGGAUUAAUACUGACACUGAGAAGCGAAAGCGUGGGUAGCAAACAGGAUUAGAUA